CCCGCCCCGAGCCCUGGCUCCCGCCGCCGGCGCCCGCGAUUGGCCGCGUUGGGCGCCAAUGCCCGCCCCGUGCGAGCCGCCCCCGCCCCCGCGGAGGGGAGCGAGCGCUCGCGGGCCCGUGGUGGGUUCGGCUGCGCUGCGUGAGGGGCUGAGGCGGUCGUGGUGGCGCGAGCGCAGGGAGCGGACAUUGGGUUCCUGAACCUCGGUGCUGAAGACAGCCAGGCCUCCAGCACAGGGUCAAACAGUGCUGCUUCUUGGAAAAACUGAAAAAGGUAUGUAGCGUUUUCUCUUACUUCACGAGCUUGGAAUCCCUUGUUUUUGAGCAAAGGAACAAACAAGCCAGAGUGUUUCGUGCGCACAUGACACACUGGGAAUUGUGUCACCGUGAAACGAGCUCCGGGCUCCCAGCCAGGAAACCCGAGUUCAAAUCCCAGGUCCACCUCUGAGAGGCUCUGCCAUGUCUGGGCGGGUUCCUUUCAUCUCCCUGCAGAGGAAAUAACACUCUGUGACUUCCCAAGCGUGGUGCCGGCCGUUGGCGAAGGG
This 543-nucleotide long non-coding RNA is filed under the name Delphinapterus leucas (beluga whale). RNAcentral's name for it is "lncRNA (ENSDLEG00000011768.1)". Lineage: Eukaryota; Metazoa; Chordata; Mammalia; Artiodactyla; Monodontidae. The record is from RNAcentral.